This 484-nucleotide ribosomal RNA is filed under the name uncultured bacterium. RNAcentral describes it as "partial 16S ribosomal RNA". It matches the Rfam family "Bacterial small subunit ribosomal RNA", at positions 30 to 507 of the family's 1533-position model. The record is from RNAcentral.
AUUGAACGCUGGCGGCAAGCCUAACACAUGCAAGUCGAGCGGAUGAAGGGAGCUUGCUCCUGGAUUCAGCGGCGGACGGGUGAGUAAUGCCUAGGAAUCUGCCUGGUAGUGGGGGAUAACGUCCGGAAACGGGCGCUAAUACCGCAUACGUCCUGAGGGAGAAAGUGGGGGAUCUUCGGACCUCACGCUAUCAGAUGAGCCUAGGUCGGAUUAGCUAGUUGGUGGGGUAAAGGCCCACCAAGGCGACGAUCCGUAACUGGUCUGAGAGGAUGAUCAGUCACACUGGAACUGAGACACGGUCCAGACUCCUACGGGAGGCAGCAGUGGGGAAUAUUGGACAAUGGGCGAAAGCCUGAUCCAGCCAUGCCGCGUGUGUGAAGAAGGUCUUCGGAUUGUAAAGCACUUUAAGUUGGGAGGAAGGGCAGUAAGUUAAUACCUUGCUGUUUUGACGUUACCAACAGAAUAAGCACCGGCUAACUUCGUG